GACAGAGGGGGCAAGCGUUGCUCGGAAUUACUGGGCGUAAAGGGCGCGUAGGCGGGAUGGCAAGUCGGUCGUGAAAUCCCUCGGCUCAACUGAGGAUCGUCGAUCGAUACUGCCGUUCUUGAGGAUUGCAGAGGAGACUGGAAUUCCCGGUGUAGCGGUGAAAUGUGUAGAGAUCGGGAGGAACACCGGUGGCGAAGGCGGGUCGCUGGGAGUGUGCUGACGCUGAGACACGAAAGCCAGGGGAGCGAACGGG
Molecule: ribosomal RNA, 253 nt
Filed under: uncultured bacterium
Lineage: Bacteria
Description: partial 16S ribosomal RNA
Rfam family: Bacterial small subunit ribosomal RNA
Source: RNAcentral